This 1177-nucleotide long non-coding RNA is filed under the name Ananas comosus (pineapple). RNAcentral describes it as "long non-coding RNA (ACOM_LNC043239)". Lineage: Eukaryota; Viridiplantae; Streptophyta; Magnoliopsida; Poales; Bromeliaceae. The record is from RNAcentral.
AGGUAGAGCACGUCUGGUUUACUUUGGCUUAAUUUGAUAUUGAGAUCUAUAUAACGAUAUUAAAAAAGCUGGAGUUAGGCUUAGUGUGGUAUUGAAAUGUAUCCAAUACUAUAAGAUAAAAUGGAGUUGAGAAAAAAGCAUAUAGGGAUAUGCUUUUGCUGACCGCAAAAAAUAUAUCGUAACCGAGUCAUCGCAAUAUGCGGAACGCAAUAUUACGUACGGAAACAAAUAGGUUAUUUUUCUAUCAUACUUUCUCAAAAGUAUAUAGAAAUAUGCUUUUGCGUUUUCUGGUGGGCCCGUCGAAAAGACUCAUCGCGAUAUGCGAAACGUAGUAUACGUAUGGAAACAGACAAGAUAUUUUUACAUGGUACUUUCUCACCGUAUGUAACGCAAUCUUCCAGCAAUCUGGAAUGAAGCCUUAGGCAGUGUUUGGUUUAGAGAUAAAGUGAAAAUAGACCACUUUAUUAAUAUCUAAUUUAUCCCAACACUAGAGGGGGGAAUGAAUUUAUUUAAUCCCCUCUUAAUGAUUUCUUCUCUUUAUACUUUUACUACACUACAAUGAAAAUGAUGUUUAACGACAGUUUUAAAUAUUAGUAUAAGUCAAAAAAAAAGUGCUGCUGGCUAAAUUAUCGACACUUUUUGAAAGUGUUGCUAUAUGUGGGGUUGCUAUAUAUGGGCCACCUCAAUGUUUGACACUCAUUCCUCCAGCGACCUGUGGUGGAGGGACAUGUGGCGAUCGUAACUCUCUACGGUCCCUACGAGAUCCUCACAGUCGAACUCCAACCGCCGGAACCCUAUCUCGUCGGCCGUGGCGGAGGAGAAAGAAAAUUGAUGAUCAAUUUUUUUUUAUUUUCUUUUCUGUAAUUGGGCCGAGUGGGCUAGGUAGGUUGGUUGAGUAAAGAAACUUUUUAUUUUUUGUUGGAUUGGAUUUUAUAUUUAGACUUUAAUAGUUUUUUUAAAAAUUUUUUUGGCAUAAAUGGAUACUUACACAAAAAUGUUCCAAAAAUGUGUUUCUAUAAUCUAAUUUUAUUAUAGUGCUAAUUUAAUAAUAAUAUAUUAUUAAUUAAUAUAUUAUAUAUUAUUUUAUUAAUUAAUUAGCUAAAUUAAUUAAUUAACUAAUUUAGUAAUAAAAUAUUAGGUAAAUUAAUAAUUAUUUAGUUUGUUUAUGUAAUAGCUA